UCGACAGUCGAUCUCAAGAAAGAAAAAGAAAAGGCGAGAGCCAGACACACUACUCACAUUAGUAUGCCUGUUAGCAUCUUCAAAGCCUCUGAUUACUAUGGCAUAAUGGAUGAAUCUUGCAAAUUUACGAUUGUGGGUCGAUUCCUAAGACCCCGCCCCCAAAUUAAUAGAAUUAGGUCAAGAUUCAAGGAAAUUGUUCCUCUUAAGGAGUUGGUGAGAAUUGGGUUUAUGAUAACCAUAAUGUUUUUAUUGACCUAUUUAAUGAGGAUGAUUGUAAAACAGUUUGGUUUUGGAGGGUCAUUGAAAUUGAUGGUAUGCGAAUGUGAUUGCAAAAAUGGUCUCCAGAUUUCAAGCCAGAGGAAGACUUUCAUGUGGCUCCUGUGUGGGUUCUCUUGCCUGGUUUGCCAUUCCAUAUGCAUGAUUGACAUUAUGUUAAACAACUUCUAAGCUCAGUCGGAAUACCUCUAGCUUUGGAUGCUGCAACUAUGGGAAGAACAACGCCAAGCAUGGCUAAAAUUAAGUUGAAGUGGACCUGUUGAAGCCACUACCUCAAAGUAUAUUUGUUGGCAAAGAUCAUGAGGAUUCUCCUCUCAAAGGAUACACUCAAAAACUGGAGUAUGAAGGAGUACCAAAAUAUUGUAAACACUAUAGGAAAAUUGGUCAUUACAUGAUCAAUUGCAGAGCUCUAGAAAAAAAAACUGAAAAUAAAGAAGAAGAAAAAGAGACUCAGAAUCAAGGAAAUGGCAAUCAGUUAACCAUUGAACAAGAGGGGAGCAAGGCUAAUGUGAGCAGUAAUGAAAAACCUCAAAAUCUGCUGACUCCAGAAAUCACACAAAAACAACAAAAUAAAGAGGUCAAUUGCAAAAACAAAAAGAAUAGAAAGAAGAAGAUCAGAAGAAGACUGAGAAAAUGCCAAAAAAGAGUAAAGUUGUGUUCAAGCCGGCUAACAGCAAAAGAAGAGAAGGAUAUGUCUCAACAUCAUAGAAAAAUGACUUUACUAGGCAAUCCAUUGAAGAAAGUAUCCUUAGCCCCUCAACAAAAACAACACCUGUCAACAGGAACAAACAGAUGAGAAUAUCAACAAGGUUACAUAUGAUGAAUUAAAUGAGCUUAAUAGACCAGAGGAUUAACAUUUGAAAAAUAGCCUUAUACAAACCAAUCAAGAAGACAAAACUGAGGGGAUACACAGUCAAGAGCAGGGUGGUGAACCCAGUUCUUCUACUGUCCCAAUAGAAAUAAGGAAUCUACCGGGGCUUCAACUGGUAGUGCACUUAUAUGAAAACAAGGAAGAAUGCAACUAUAUUAAUCAAGAAAAUGACAUUUCUGAUAGCUUGCAAGGAGCAUAACAGAUGAACAAACAGCAAGAAUUGAGAAAGAAGAUCAAUAUUCCCAUACCAUUAUAGAAGAUCAAUAACAGAAUACAAGGAGAGAAAGAAGUGAAACCAGAAAAAUAGCAAAAGAUACAAGAACAUAACUCAACCUUCAAUAAGAAUUAAAAGGAAGACAACCCCCAGAUGAUCUCAAUGGUUAAUGCUCUAUUUUGAAAUAUUAGGGGAGUUAGAUCCUAAAAGCCAUUUACAGGCUAAAGAAACUGAUUAACAUCAACAACACUCAAUAUGUGUCUAUCUUUGAACCUUUUGUCUCAAAAGAAAAAUUAAAUGGUUAUAAGAAAUUAUUAGGUUUCCAACACUGUUGUUGCAAUAAUAUUGGCUACGUCUGGUGUUUUUUGAAUUCUUACAACACUACUACAGUCACUGCCAUCAGUGAUCAACAUAUUACUGUCAGACCCUUUUUUUUUACCUCACUUAACCCUCUUAUAAAUAAUAAAAAGAUUUUAUAAAGAUCAAAAAGGGUUUUCAAUAUUGAAAGGUGACAAAAUUGGUGUUUUAAAGGAUUUUCAGAGUCGCCACCUGACAUUUGGUUUCGGUGUGCCAGGUCACCGUUUUUAAAAUAACAAUUUUCUUUCAAAACACAUUUGACCCUUAAACCAGUUUGCACCAGAGUUCUAGAUAAGGGGGUUUAUUUGACUCAGGGAGAAGGUGUUAGCAUUCCCCGAGUCCCGUGAAAGUCACGGUUGCGUACUCGAUCUAGUUGGCAUUUAAAAUAUUUAAAUUGAGGUAAAAAUAAAUAUAGAAAAUAAAAAUAAACACACAAGAGGCUGGAGGUCAUUCCCACCUAAUAAAAGAAAAAUGAAAAUGAAUAUUGAAAAACUACGAGUUCUACUUUCGGCCUCCAAAUACAAAUACUUCGGGGCAUACCCCGGAUAAAAAUAUAUACAAAUUUUGCGGGGCAUUCCCCGGAUAAUAAACUAAAAGAAACGACAUCUCGCCUCAAAAGAAAUUAAAAUACGAAAGUCCUAAAAGUUUGCCUACCCAAAUUUGACGGCCUAAACAUGCCGCUAACGGUUAAAUAACUAAGAGAACAAAAGUGUAGCAAUCUGUUUCGUUGGUCUUUAACACUGUUAAACUCCCUAUGUCACAUUUAUCAUUGCUCUUCCUAAUCUAACUUCACUAUACAAUUAGGAAUUCAUAAAAUAGCAAGAAACAUUCUUAAAGAUUUUAAACUAAUUUCAAACAAAAUGAAACAAACAAAUCAAACUAACAUACUAAUGAACAGACAAUUAAAGCAUAUCGAACAAAAAUCACAUAAUAAAAUUAAGGAAUUUAUGGGAAGAGAAAAUGGAUUGGACCUUUAAACCCAAAUGUUUGGUAGCACAAGACUGAAAAACGAGCGACGAAAGCUAGAUCGGACCUCAAUUGAACUAGAAACACUAUUGACCAAGCGCCGCAAACAGGACACCUCGAAGAAUCGAAAGGUUCACGGGAAACUUUGCUUGACUUGAGAAGCUAACCAAAUUUGAAUCACUUUGGGAGUUUAAUGAAGAAGAACAAAUCAAAGAUAUGUUGAGCAGCUUGAGCAACAAGAAAGUUCGAUCACAAUCUCACACCAGGUUGCUACUGGCGGCGGUUCUUUGUGUAGGAGAGGUCGACAACUGGGGAUGGGGGUAAGGCCACUGGUUUGCCGGCGGCUUGGUGGUUCAGGGGAUGGAGGCCAUUCUUUUUCCGGCAAGUUUUUUGGCGGGGUAGCAGCUAGGUCAUGGGGAAUUAGGGAGUGUGCUCCUAGGGUGUCUAGGUUAGAGAAGAAGAAGAGUGGUCCUAGGGUUUUCUUGUGUGUGAGAGAUGACUGCUUUUUUUUUUCUUGCAAGGGUGAAGAAGAGGGGUCCUAGGUUAAGAAUUAGGUCUCUUUUUAGUGAAGUGGGAGGUAUGGGCUAAGGGAAAAUUUCAAAAAUUG
RNAcentral lists this long non-coding RNA (3291 nucleotides) under Nicotiana tabacum (common tobacco). RNAcentral describes it as "long non-coding RNA (NTAB_LNC009574)". Lineage: Eukaryota; Viridiplantae; Streptophyta; Magnoliopsida; Solanales; Solanaceae. The record is from RNAcentral.